UAAUCACUUGUCUUUUAAAUGAAGACCUGUAUGAAUGGCAUAACGAGGGUUUAACUGUCUCCUCCUCCCAGUCAAUGAAAUUGAUCUGCCCGUGCAGAAGCGGACAUAAAAACAUAAGACGAGAAGACCCUAUGGAGCUUUAGGCUUAGGAUCAAACAUGUCAAAAGACUACAAAAUCAAAAAGAUAUACAAACAGUCAUCAAAACUAAAUGUAAAGUGAUCUAAAUGCCUUCGGUUGGGGCGACCACGGGGAAAAAAGAAACCCCCAAAUGGAAUGGGAAUAUUCCCUUAAACCAAGAAAAACACCUCUAAGUAACAGAACAUCUGACCAAAAAUGACCCAGAACAACAAUUCUGAUCAAUGAACCAAGUUACCCUAGGGAUAACAGCGCAAUCCUUUCCCAGAGCCCA
This 410-nucleotide ribosomal RNA is filed under the name Macrocephenchelys brachialis. Its description in RNAcentral is "partial 16S ribosomal RNA". It matches the Rfam family "Bacterial large subunit ribosomal RNA", at positions 1962 to 2502 of the family's 2925-position model. The record is from RNAcentral. Lineage: Eukaryota; Metazoa; Chordata; Actinopteri; Anguilliformes; Congridae.